Molecule: ribosomal RNA, 254 nt
Filed under: uncultured bacterium
Lineage: Bacteria
Description: partial 16S ribosomal RNA
Rfam family: Bacterial small subunit ribosomal RNA
Source: RNAcentral
UACAGAGGGUGCAAGCGUUGUUCGGAAUUAUUGGGCGUAAAGGGCGCGUAGGCGGCUUGGCAAGUGGAUGGUGAAAUCCCUCGGCUUAACCGAGGAACUGCCGUCCAAACUGCUUCGCUUGAGACCGGGAGAGGUGAGUGGAAUUCCCAGUGUAGCGGUGAAAUGCGUAGAUAUUGGGAGGAACACCAGUGGCGAAGGCGGCUCACUGGACCGGUACUGACGCUGAUGCGCGAAAGCGUGGGGAGCAAACGGGG